GACUCGUCCCAUGUCUCCGUUUGCAUGUUCACAAGUACGUGCGCUGCAAGCAGCCCAUAUGUGCACAGCGCCUUCCACUGCAGAGAUAUUACGGGAGAUCCGAAAACACCUGGACCUUCCUUCUACCAGUAGAACAAAACCCAACAAAUCUAUAAAGGAAUGUCGAUGAAGAAACUAUUCACUGUGUCCUACACUUCCAUGGGGCCUGGUUCUCCAGACUAAUACAAUGAGGAAGCCACGCUCUCUAGCGCUAGACCAUUUAAUCUGGAUUUCAGUAUGUGAAUCCACACAGCCUGCAAAGAAAAGUAAGAAAUGAAUGUAACACUUAUGAAGAAGCUAGUCUUCCAACAAAUGCAAAAACAACAAACGAAUCCACACAGCCUCCAUAGAAAAGUAAGAAAUGAAUAUAACACUUAUGAAGAAGCUAGUCUUCCAACAAAUGCAAAACUAACAAACGAAAGGCCUGAGACAGGACACUGUGGAUGUGGUUAGGGUUGGAGCACAUAAUAAAGUGACCAUUCUCUGGAGAACAACUGACCCCACAUGUUUUUCUGUAU
Molecule: long non-coding RNA, 557 nt
Organism: Esox lucius (northern pike)
Lineage: Eukaryota; Metazoa; Chordata; Actinopteri; Esociformes; Esocidae
Exons: 3
Source: RefSeq, a predicted model, not a curated record